This 72-nucleotide transfer RNA is filed under the name Ictidomys tridecemlineatus (thirteen-lined ground squirrel). Its description in RNAcentral is "Spermophilus tridecemlineatus (thirteen-lined ground squirrel) tRNA". It matches the Rfam family "tRNA". From Rfam's summary of the family: Transfer RNA (tRNA) molecules are approximately 80 nucleotides in length. Their secondary structure includes four short double-helical elements and three loops (D, anti-codon, and T loops). Further hydrogen bonds mediate the characteristic L-shaped molecular structure. tRNAs have two regions of fundamental functional importance: the anti-codon, which is responsible for specific mRNA codon recognition, and the 3' end, to which the tRNAs corresponding amino acid is attached (by aminoacyl-tRNA synthetases). tRNAs cope with the degeneracy of the genetic code in two manners: having more than one tRNA (with a specific anti-codon) for a particular amino acid; and 'wobble' base-pairing, i.e. permitting non-standard base-pairing at the 3rd anti-codon position. RNAcentral also lists the same sequence under 1 other name. Lineage: Eukaryota; Metazoa; Chordata; Mammalia; Rodentia; Sciuridae. The record is from Rfam by way of RNAcentral.
GGGGAUAUAGCUCAGUUGGUAGAGUGUUUGCCUCACAUCAACAAGGCCUGGGUUCAAUCCCCAGCACCACCA